CGAGCGGCAGCGCGGGGGCAACCCUGGCGGCGAGCGGCGAACGGGUGAGUAACACAUCGGAACGUACCCAGUGGUGGGGGAUAGCCCGGCGAAAGCCGGAUUAAUACCGCAUACGACCUGAGGGUGAAAGUGGGGGACCGCAAGGCCUCACGCCGUUGGAGCGGCCGAUGUCGGAUUAGCUAGUUGGUGGGGUAAAGGCCUACCAAGGCGACGAUCCGUAGCUGGUCUGAGAGGACGACCAGCCACACUGGAACUGAGACACGGUCCAGACUCCUACGGGAGGCAGCAGUGGGGAAUUUUGGACAAUGGGCGCAAGCCUGAUCCAGCCAUUCCGCGUGAGUGAAGAAGGCCUUCGGGUUGUAAAGCUCUUUCGGCAGGGAAGAAACGGUGCGGGUGAAUACCCCGCAUUAAUGACGGUACCUGAAGAAGAAGCGCCGGCUAACUACGUGCCAGCAGCCGCGGUAAUACGUAGGGUGCGAGCGUUAAUCGGAAUUACUGGGCGUAAAGCGUGCGCAGGCGGUUUCGUAAGACAGAUGUGAAAUCCCCGGGCUCAACCUGGGAACUGCGUUUGUGACUGCGAGACUCGAGUGCGGCAGAGGGGGGUGGAAUUCCACGUGUAGCAGUGAAAUGCGUAGAGAUGUGGAGGAACACCGAUGGCGAAGGCAGCCCCCUGGGUCGACACUGACGCUCAUGCACGAAAGCGUGGGGAGCAAAC
RNAcentral lists this ribosomal RNA (715 nucleotides) under uncultured bacterium. Its description in RNAcentral is "bacterial SSU rRNA". It matches the Rfam family "Bacterial small subunit ribosomal RNA", at positions 63 to 773 of the family's 1533-position model. The record is from RNAcentral.